Molecule: RNA transcript, 3870 nt
Organism: Zea mays
Lineage: Eukaryota; Viridiplantae; Streptophyta; Magnoliopsida; Poales; Poaceae
Exons: 12
Source: RefSeq, marked validated
ACGGUUCUGCCUGCCUCAACGCCCGCGCUCCUCACCAACGCCGCAAUCAUCGCCCACGCGCGGAUCCCCCACGAUCCUCCCCACCACCGCCGCCACAAUCAUCGCUCACGCGCGGAUCCCCCAUGAUCCUCCCUACCGUCGCCGCAAUCAACGCCCACGCGGAUCCUCCCCACGAUCCCCACCCCGCACACCCCCACCCUUCCAUCGCCGGCCGGAAUCGAUCGAUCCAAAGCUCCCUUUAGAGCUCGAGCUCUAUCCAACCCACGAACGGGAUCCCGAUGCCCAUGGCGGCCUCGGUUCGUCUCGCCGCACCGGCUGCCUCGCCCCCGCUGACGUGGUGGAGGUGGGCUCCUCUUCUCGCCGCGUCACAUCCACGGGCGAACCCGCCGCCUCCCGCACCGCGCCUGCGGGCGCCCGCUCUCUUCUCCGGGCCUCCCCUGUUCCCCGCGAUUCCAGCGCCGGAGCCAUCGUCCGGAGGACACCGUGUGCGGCGGCGGCAAUAGGUGGAGGUGUGGAGGCGGAGUCCACGGAGCGGGAGGCGCCCGAUCGGGAUACUCUGAAGCGGGUGGCGCUGCUCGCGCUUGGCUGCUGCACUGCAGCCGCCGCUCUCGGCGUGGCGCGGGCAGCGGCGGGGGACUCCAUCAAGGCGUCAGGAUUCAGGCUAUGGGUGGCGGAGUCGCUGCGGAGGCUCGGAUGGCCCGAUGACACCGUCGUGUUCGCGCUCGCAACGCUGCCGGUGAUCGAGCUGCGGGGGGCGAUCCCGUUGGGUAUUGGCUGUGGGGCCCAUCCCCACUGCCCCUCUGUCGCAAACCCCGCGCACGCCGCCUCCACUGCACACCCCCGCCUUCCAUCAUCGGGCCUCUGCCGCAAACCCCGCACACGUCGCCUCCACCGCACACCUCGCCCUUCCAUCGUCGCCACCGCGCACUCACCCUCCACACCAUCCUCGCCCCAAAUCGCUCAGCCUAAGCAUAGAUGGAAGUCCCCCCGCAUCCGCUCCCGCGCAUCCCGACAUCAGUGGAUUGCGGCAGAGGCCCUUCGUGCACGAUCUGUUUCCCCCUCCACGCAUGGCGGUUCCGCCUCCACCUACCGUCGCCCCAUCCACUCAAGGCCAAUUGCAUCCAAAUGUCACGCAGGCCGCACGUCAUCCUCAUCCUUGUGGCGUCAACAACCAUGUGCGGCAAGCAGCGGAUGCGGUAGAUGAUUGUUUGCGUCCCAUAUAGCUCAAUAUAUGCCUGCCCCCGAUGCCAUCUACAUGCCUAGAGGCGACGGUCGGACGGGCCAAGUAGGAGCCAAAAAGAAGCAAGCCCCGUCGCCGUCAUGGAAGGAGGAGGCCAUCCCACCCACGCUGACGAGGAGCCACCAAUAGCAGGUGCCACCACCACCCAAGGAGAAAGCCGCCCAAGGAGACCUUUCAUUUCAGAUUGGAGAUGACUCGGCAUGUUUCCAUGAUUUCAAUUACACUGUCCCCUAGAGAGCUGGACAAGCACACUCCUGGGUACCAAGCUCCAGUGUAUGUUGAACAACCAAGGCAACAGCAGGUGCCACCACCACAGCGCCAACCACGCAGACCACCAGCACAAUUCCAGCAGCUAGAGUACGAAGAUUCUUAUGCACGGGGUCGAGGAAGAGGGCGUGGGCGUGGAAGGGGCUGGGGUAGAGGUGGCUACGGUGGCUAUGGUGGAUAUGGAAACAACCAAGGUGGCUAUCAUCAGGGUGGUGGGUAUUAUGACAAUCAAGGUGGUUAUAAUGGCUAUGAUAAUCAAGGUGGAUAUAGUGGCUAUGAUAAUCAAAGUGGAUAUGGUGGUGGAUAUGGCUAUAAACAAGGCAGAUAUGGGAACUAUCAAGAAAAUGGUGGAUAUAACCGAGACCCAGGAAGUGGUAUGCGAGGAAGAUGCAAUUGGGGUUACCAAGGAGCGCGAACCCCUUGGUGGCCGCCUCCAGCUGCGCGAAUGUGAACUCUCCAGGGGGUCCUUGAACGAUGACGGUCCGCUCCGCUUCCGCGUCAUCACACGCGACAGCUGCCACCGGAAUAGGAUGCGCGCCCGCGACCCGUACGGUUUGUGACUUCAAAAAUAACAGCAAGAAGCCUCGAAGACAUUCUUUUGGAUAAAGUUAGGAAAGUACCAUGCAUCCCACUUUCAGAUGGUUCAUUUACCUCUAUUUCAGAUGGUCGUAUAUGGUUGCCAUAUGAUGUUGCCAAUUCCAUUCCUGAAUGCAGUAGCAUUCCGAAUUUUCCAGCUCUAUAUGGUAAUCUUCGAACUGUAAGUCCAAACCUUCUCUCUGCAUGCUGCAAAAAUAAAUAUCUCAUGGAGGAAGUCAGAAUAAAUGAUCUGGCAGACAUGCUCCAAAGGAUCGGGGUGCGGAAGUUGUCUGGGCAUGACAUUGUUAAAAAUCACAUCAUGGUGUCCUUGCGUAACGGUUUAGAUGCUAAUGUGGCUGAUAUAGUGAUUAGAGAGUAUGUGAGCUUUAUUAUGGUUCAUCUUCAGUCUUCUUGCACCAGCUGUAACUUUGAAAGAGGAGAGAUAGUGUCAGAACUACGGAAGAGUCCUAUAUUCCUUACAAACCAUGGAUACAAGAGCCCAGCUGAUGAACCAAUUCACUUCAGUAAAGAUUAUGGAAAUUCCGUGGAUGCUACUAGACUCUUCAGAAUGUAGAAAUAAGUUGGAUUGAACUUGAUAGUACCUAUUUGCAGCAUCAUGGUUCACAGUCGUCAUCAUUUGCACUGGAAAAAUGGAGGCAAUUUUUUGAAGAAAUGGGUGUGACUGAUUUUGUGCAGGUAGUGAAAGUUGAAAAAACUUUAUCCCAAGUUGAUUCUAUUCUAGCAGGAGGACUUUCUCUAGCUGAUGUAUCUACAAAACAAUGUACAGUGUAUGACUGGGAGUCACCAGAAUUAUCUAGAAUUUUAUCAAUAUUUUCUUCAAAAAGAUGCAAGGAAAAAUGUGUAUAUCUUCUGGAAGUUCUUGAUAGAUUCUGGGAUGAUCAUUAUAGGGCAAAAUCUAGGAUCUUCACAGAUGCUACACAUUGUGGUGAAAACAGAGCAGUUGAAUCAUCAUUUAUGAAGUGCAUUCAAAGCUUCAAAUGGAUAGCAUCAAGAAUGGAUGAGGAUCUUCAUUAUGCAACAGAUUUAUUCUAUGAUUGUGAAAAUGUCCGCUCUCUUUUUGGUAGUGUGGCUCCAUAUGUUGUAUCGCAGGUAUCUAGCAGUUCACUUAAGAAGGCCAUUGGAUUCAAAACAGAGGUAUCUUACUGUGAUGCAUUGAUGGUCCUGAAGUCUUGGAUAACGUCAAAGGUUCCCUUUAGAGCAAGUAUGAGCCAGAUGUGGAAAUUCUAUACCUUAUUGUCUGAAGGCGUGGCAGACGCAAAGAUUGACAUUAAACGGGAGUUCAUGUCGUCUCCCUCUAUAUUUACACCACUACAGCGUCCUCGGGCAAUUUAAAGACAUCCCAUCUAUUGGACGCUCCAUCACUAGCUGCAAUAGACAAAACUUAGAGGAGCCAUUUCCACUAUUUCAUCUAUUAAAACAAGUAAGAAAAUAGAAAGGCUUGGAAGCAAUGGUGUUCCACCCAGAACAAGCCGACUCAAGCGACUUUUUGUCUACUCUUUGCAAAACAGUGAGGCAACGAGUCAGGAAGCGCACCAUGGUCGGAUGAACGAAGAAGAAAAAUCUGUUGCAUGGAAUGGAUGUAUGUUAUUAGAUUAAAAUAACAAAAUUUAUGUAUGGAUAGAAUCACAAAUGAAUUCUGAAACAUUUUCUCAUAACAGUAUAACGCACACAUGUACAUAAGUUAUCGUGUUGUUAUACGGUUCCGUUGCAACGUACGGGCACUCACCUAGUCAUAUAAUAGAGAAUAAUCUCCACCUUGGAUUUUU